Long non-coding RNA from Cavia porcellus (domestic guinea pig), 9531 nucleotides. RefSeq lists it as uncharacterized. The transcript has 4 exons. The record is from RefSeq and is a predicted model, not a curated record. NCBI's taxonomy places the organism in Eukaryota, Metazoa, Chordata, Mammalia, Rodentia, Caviidae.
UCAAGCACUUGACAAUUGCUCAAAGGGAAAUGAGGAAUUGUUUUGUAUAAAUGAGUCAACUUACCUUGAAUUCAUACCACUUGGGGUGGACCAUGCCGCAAUCAUCAGACAAGUUUGCAUGGCUUUAUUUGAUCAUUAUCAUAAAACAUGACAUGUAUUGCACGUCUCUCAGCUUAUGUUUCGUGUCAGGUUUUAGCAUGAAAAUAAUUUGGACAUGAUAUAUUCUAGGCCAUUUCAGCAAGACUGGAGGCAACAUGUUCAGAGUAUGUGUUCACAUUCCAAUUAUCUGCAGCAAGGAAGGAGAGAAAUAAUGGGAGUUAUCCAAUGUGACAUUGCUCCUUGGAAAACAUGUAUUCCAUAUGAGGCUCUUAAGUUUCCAUUGUACAACAUGAACUUGGAAACUAAACCCCACAUUAACACACCCAAGUCUAGUGAUGGAACUGAAACCUGCAACUCUCAACCUGUGUUUCCUUCUGGCAUGCUUGGUGUGAACUGGAUUGAUGAGUUUAUCCCAUGCAAACCAUGCAAGAGGAGGAAAAGCUUUCUUCCAACUUCCAAGACCCAAGAAUUUGGAGCAGGAUAUAAGACAGAGAAGCAAGCUGUAGCCAUUGUGCCAAAGUCCUCUGGGAAGAUGAGGAGCAACCAGGAUAUUCAUGGAAGGACAUUCAUGGAAGCCACCAUGGAAGCCAAAGUCCUCUGGGAAGAUGAGGAGCAACCAGGAUAUUCAUGGAAGGAUGUUCAUGGAAGCCACCAAGGAGACAUGUAAGCCAUGAGGGAUGGGCGAGUUCAGCAGAAUAGCCAUCUAGUUAAGGAUUGGGUGUUUAACAAACAUGGACUCAAAUGCCAAGUCCACUGCUUCAAUGUUGUUAGACUUGGGUAAAAUUAUACAGUGUUCUUGUCUAUAAAAACAAAGAAAUGAACAACUAGAGUUUCUGUGAGGACUGAGAGUUGAUGUGCAGUGUGGGUAGAAUAGUUUUGACAUAUGCUCAGCUCUGUCCUUCCUAGAAUAACCUCGAUUUUUCAUCCAUUAAAAGCCCUACUCUUCUCCCUGGGGAGCCCCCAAGAAGUUGCUAUUACUCCCCAUUCUAGUGCUUUCUGGACAUGUCUCUUAUUCCUUCUGGAUUAACCAAUUGACGGGGAGAGGAGUCAUGGCAAGCUUGUCUAUUUCAAACAAAGGACCAAUAACAUUUUUUCCUAAUCCUUUUCCUCAUAAUUAAAAUUAAAAUUUCUUUAGGAAUUCUUAUAACUGAUCAGAAAUCACAAGGAUUUUUAGAAUCAUUGGCAUAAAUCUUAUGGCUAGACACUAUAAACAUGAAGCCUAAGGAAUCGAUGAUACAGAUCAUGAGAUCUAAUCCACAAAUUAUAGCAUUCAGUAGUUAGUUCUGGUUGAGUAAUUUAAUGUGAGUCAAGUCAUACAUAACUUUAACUGACGACAACAGUAAGUUCUAAAAUCAGUCAGUGCCUUACAGUCCAGCACAUGCAUUUUAUUCUAAGCCAGUGCUUUAUUUCACUUUUCAAUGUAAUUUAAGUCAUUUAGAAAUCUCAACUUGCUUCAGCCAUAGAUGCCAUAGGAUUUUAGUCUGAUUUAAGAGAAUAUGCCAGAGUGCACUCAAAGAUAAGUCAGAUGAUUAUUAAAAUCUUCAUAAUAAGUUGCACAACUACUUAAACCAACUCUUUUCCCCUUAUAUACAUCAAAGACCAUAAAAGGAACAAACUAUAAAUAUGACACAGUUAAAUCAGAAACACAGUAUAUUGAACACAACACAGUAAAUAUCCCAUGAUUUUAUAGAUAUGGAAAUUCGAGAUAAAGCAAAACUAAUUACAGAAAUGGAAAGCACUACUUUUCUGGGCACUGUGACAUGAUCAAAAGGGAGCUAAUAGGACAUCCUGGGAUAGAGGAAAUGACCCAUACCUCAAUACGAGUGUAUUUGUCAAGAGUCAUCAUUUUAAAAAUAAACACUGUAAAACCUCACUAUCAAUCAGGUUCCUCUGACCGAUUCUCUAUGUUGUGAGGUAGUGUUAAGGACAUGCACAAUGUUUGGCUGGAGGAGGCCAUGAGGAAUGAAGAGAUAAAUAUUUUAAGCAAAAAUGACAACAAAACAAAAGAAGUUUCUCUUGAGGCUGGAAUUCUCCCUUCUCUUUUUGUUAGAUUAAAGAAGAUGGAAGAAAAAGCAGUGAGAGUAGAUGAAGUCCUUCCUUGUCAAGUUCAUUUACAUGGUCUUUCCUAAUCCAUGUACAGAGAGCUUUUGUGAAUGCUUUAAGGAAAAAAACUUACAGAGGCCCCAUAAAUUCAAGAGCUAGGAACAAAUCACAGAGCAUUCUGGGGCUCGGUAAACAUGAGUAGUUAUGUUGGACAGUAAUUGGGAACAGCAGAAAAUUAGAAAGUUAAAUUGUAACUUCUCUUUGACAGGUGAUUCUUUCAUUUCAUUUUAAAAAGAAUAAAACUAAACAAAAUAAAGUAGAAUAAAGGCAAUCAAAACAAAACAGUGAAAGUGAUACAGGAUAAUAGGAAAUCAGCCAUGGCUACCAUAAUGCCUCUUAUGAUCUUCAAAAUUAGCUGCCCACAUCUAGGCAUAGUACAAUCCAACAAAAUAGAACAGAAUAAAAUCAAUCAAAAUGAAACAAGAAAAACGGGACUUCAAAACAACAUAACAGGAAAUCAACAAUGGCUACCAUAAUAAAUCUUGUUAUCUUUGAAAUAGAUGCCCAAACCAUCCAUUAUAAUAAAAUCAAACAAAAUAAAACCAAACCAAGCAAUGAAAAUGAUCCAGAACUUCUAAACAAGUUAAUAGAUAAUUAACAAUAGCUACCACCUUUAGAAGGAAAUCCCCCAUACUUGCUAUAUUGUAUUUGUUAUCCUCCAAAUAGAUGUUUAGACCACCAGCCUUAGGCCUGCAAAGUCAAUCAAAUACUAAACACUACAAGCAUUAAGGUUUUUUUCCCUACCUCAGUAGCUAAUCAUCCCAGCCUGUGUUCCUCUGGAUCAGCCAGUUAUUUACAGUAUGUGGUGAGUGGGAGACCUCUUCUUGUCUCCCAGCCUGUGCACGGGUCAGCUCACAGGAAGGGGUUGGCUUCACCUUUCGCUACUCCACAUUCCAUGAUGGAUGAUUCUUAAAAAUUUUUCUGCCCAUGAAUUAUCUAGCUAAAUAAAUAAUUCUAAACCUUUUCCAACUUUAUAUUUGUUGUUUUAACAAAGUUUUGUUUUGAUUUCAAAAUAUCAUAUCUCACUCAUGGGAAAAUCAUCUAGACUUGUGCCUAGAAAGAGGCUCAUCUGUUUGGCCAGGAGUUUUUUGGCCUUCUGAACCACCUUGAGUGGCUAAACAACCUGAAUAUCUCAGGGAGAUGGGCUUCAGAAAGACAACCUGGCAAGUCUUAGCCAGAAAAUGGAGUCAUCAAACAUACCCUCAGGUCUGUGUUCUAAGAUCCCACUGUGGAAUUCGGGGAACUGCACUGCCCCAGAGGAGAGAACUGCACUGCUGCCCAUGUGAAGAGGUGAGUUCCUGCACACCAUCCCCAGCCCCGGGAGAGUUUAAGCUCAUGGCUUCCGAUGGUGAAGGACCCGCCCAGCCUGCAGCCACACUAGACUGGGCUCUGAAGGUUUCCAGCCUGCCUGGGCCACACCCACAGACCUUCUUUCAAUCCAGGAACCUGGGCUCCCAGAGGGGGAGAGUUCCUGCACACCAUCCCAAGUCCCAGGAAAGUUUAAGAUCAUCGCUCCCAGUGGUUAAGGACCCACCCAGCUUCCAGCCACACUACACUAGGAUUGGGAGGGUUUACAGCCCAACUAGAUUAUACCCAGCCACCUUCUUCAAUCAGGGGAGUUGAGGGCACAUGAAGUGAGUUCCAGCGCAUUGGUCCUAGCCCAGGGAGAGCUUUGGACCUUCAUCCACAGAGGUUAGAUGCCCACCCAGCUUCCUGGAACACUGGAGGUGGCACAGGAGGUCCUAUGGGCCUGACUGGACCAUGCUCAGCAACCUCUAUUCAGUCCCAGGAGCCCAGGACAUGGGAGAAAAUUUCCAACAUGCCCAGGGGAAGUCUUGUGACAUCUCUUGAAACAUGGAAAUAUAGAAAAUGACAAAAUGAAAGACCAAAAUGCAAUCUCAAACGUCUAGCCCAUCCCAAGAAAGCCUAGGAGCCAUGUACAUAGAAGAAAAUACAUGCCAUACACCUGAAGUAAUAGCAGCUGAAAUAAAGAAGCAACUCUGGGACGAUUUAAAGGAAUUCAAACUAGAAAUAAUCUCCCAGGUAAAAGAAGAAAUGAUAAAAGUAAUAAAAGAGAUGCUGAACACAUCUAAAGAAGACACAAUUUUAAAAACUAGAGGAACAAGACAAAAAUAAAGAAUCCCUGUAUUAACAACAUAAAAAACAAACAGAAUACAUGAAGCAGUUUCAAAGAGAUACACAGGAAACAAAAAAUUCCAUUGAAAGUUGUCAAAACCACCUCAAUGAAAGUGAAUAGAAUUUCAGACCACAAAGACAAGAUUGCAGCCAGUGAACAGGAAGGAAAGAUCUUUUAAAAAUAACAAGAAAUCAGGAAAUGACAAUUCAAUAGCUGCAAGAUGAUUCAAAGAAAAACAACAUAAGAUUGAUAGGGAUAAAUGAAAAAGAAGGGGUCAAAACAAAAUGAUAUCAAGAGGCUAUUUACAAAAGUAAUAGUUGAAAAUUUCCCAAAUAUGAGAAUGGAAACUGACAUUAGGAUUAGUGAAGCAUGUAGAACUCCAAACAGCCAUAACAAAUUAAAACUACACCAAGAAAGAUAAUAAUCACCAUCCCAGAAAUCCAACAUAAGAAUAGAAUAUUAAAAGCUGCCAGAGAGAAAAGACAGAUCACCUAUAAAGGAAAACCUAUCAGAAUUACAGCAGACUUCUCAGCACAAACAAUGAAGUCAAGAAGAGCAUGGAGUGAAAUAUUUCAGAUCCUAAAGAAAAUGAUUUCCAGCUGAGACUGAUGUACCCUGCAAACUGUCCUUCAAACUAGAUGGAGAAAUAAGAUAGUUCCAUGACAAAGAACAGCUGAAGAACUUCAUGAUCACCAAGCCAACCCUGCAAAGUAUACUGAAAGACAGUUUACAUACACUUAGGAAAAAACCACUAAACAAUGAAGACAAUUAAACAGAAUGGAAAGAUAAAGAUGCAACAGCAAAAAGAUAACAUGUCAACAAUAAACUAAUACAUAACAGUUAUAACCAUUAAUGUAAAUAGUCUCAAUUCAACAAUUAAAAGAAACAAUUGGCAAAAUGGAUCAUGAAACAAUAUCAGACCAUAUGCUGUCUACAAGAAACCUAUCUAACCCAAAAGAAAACUCACAGAAUGAAAGUCAAAGGAUGGAAAACAAUACUUCAUGCAACAGGAACCCCAAAAAAAGCAAGGGUAGCUAUUCUGUUUGCAGAUAAUGUGAACUUAAAACCAAGAAUGAUCCUAAGAGACAAAAAAGGUCACUACAUACUAAUUAGAGGAAAACUUCAAGAGGAAGAGAUUACAGUCUUAAAUAUAUAGGCACCAAAUUCCAGAGCACUCAGUUAUACAAAGCAAGUAUUCAUAGAAAUUAAAAAUCAAAUAAGCAAUAACACGAUUAUAAAAGGAGACCUUAACACACCAUGACACCAAGAGACGGGCAAAAAUUCAACAAAAAAUAACAAAACUGAAUCACACCUGUGAGCAAAUGGGCUUGACAGACAUAUACGAAGUGUUUCAUCCAACAAUAUCAGAAUAUACAUUCUUCUCAGCAGUACAUGGGACAUUCUCUAAAAUAGACCAUAUACUAGCACACAGAAUAUAUUUAAAUAAAUGCAAAAGAAUUGAAAUUAUCCCAUGCAUGUUAUCAGAUCAUAGCGCCAUAAAACUAGAAAUUAAUGAUAAAAGAAACUGCAAAAACCCCAGAAACACAUGGAAAUUGAAUAAUAUACUCAUGAAGAAUCAAUGGGUCACAGGGGAAAUUAAAGAAGAAAUUAAACAAUACCUACAAGCAAACAAAAAUACAGAUACAAAUUACUGGAAUCUGUGGGAUGCAAUGAAAGCAGUCCUCAGAGGAAAAUAUACUGCACUGAGUUCCCACAUCAGGAAAACAGAACAAAUACAAGUAAACAACCUGAUGCUACACCUCAAACAUCUAGAAAAAGAAGAGCAAGUCAAGCCCAAAGCCAAAAGAAGGGAAAAAUUAUAAAUUCAGAGCACCAAUUAAUGUAAUGGAGACUAAGAAAAUCCAAAGAAUCAAUGAAUCAAAGAGUUGGUUCUUUGAAAGAAUAAAUAAAAUCGAUAAGCCCCUAGCCAACCUUAUUUAAAAAAGGAAAGAAAAAGCUCAAAUUCAUGCAAUAAGAAAUGAAAAAGGCAAAAUCACUACAGACUCUGUGGAAAUACAGAAGAUCAUCAACACCUAUUUCAAAAACCUCUACUCUCAUAGGUUCAAUAGCACAGAAGAAAUGGACAGAUUCCUAGAAACAUAUGAAGUACCAAAGCUGGGUCAAGAAGAUGUAAAACUGCUGAAUAACCCAUUUUCUAUUAAUGAAAUUGAAAACCUAAUUAAGUCCUUACCUACAAAGAAGAGCUCAAGCCCAGACGGAUUCACUGCAAAAUUCUACAAGAAAUACAAAGAAGACUCAAUGUCAACACUCUUCAAACUCUUUAAUGAAAUCGAAAGGGAAGUAAUUCUUCCUAAGUCAUUCCUGGAAGCAAAUAUUACUCUAGUACCAAAACCUGAGAAAGACCUAACUAAAAAAGAGAACUGCAGGCCAAUCGCCCUAAUGAACACAGAUGCAAAAAUCCUCAAUAAAAUAUUAGCAAAUAGGAUGCAGCAAAUCAUCAAGAGAUUAUAUACCAUGACCAAGUGGGAUUCAUCCCAGGCAUGCAGGGAUGGUUCAACAUACAUAAAUCAAUAAAUGUAAUCCACCAUAUCAAUAAAGCCAAAAGUAAGAAUCAUAUGAUCAUUUCUAUAGAUGUAGAAAAAGCUUUUGAUAAGAUCCAACAUUCAUUCAUGAUAAGAACCUUAUAGAACUGGAAUAGAUGAUCUUUACCUCAAUAUGAUAAAGGCUAUCUAUGACAAACCAACAGCCAGCAUCAUAUUAAAUAGCCAAAACUUGAUGUCUUUACCUUAAAAUCAGGCACAAGACAAGGAUGUCCCUUAUUACCACUCCUAUUCAACAUAGUACUGGAAAUACUAGCCAGAGCAAUUAGACAAGAGAGAGAAAUAAAUGGAGUAAAGAUAGGAAAUGAGGAAGUUAAAUUAUCAUUACUUGCAGAUGACAUGAUACUCUACAUAAAAGAUCCCCAAAACUCCAUUGAAAGUGUCCAUUGAUAUAAUAAAUAAAUUCAGCAAUGUAGCUGGAUACAAAGUCAAUACUCAAAAAUCCAUAGCAUUCCUAUACACGAACAUCAAAAUCACUGAGAGAGAAAUAAGAGCUACAUCUUUCACAUUAGCAUCCAAAAAAAUGAAAUUAGAAAUUAAUCUCAUGAAAGACGUAAAAGAUCUAUAUAGGGAAAAUUAUAGUGCCCUGAAAAAAGAAAUUGAAGAGGAUCUCUGAAAAUGGAAAGACAUCCCUUGUUCAUGGAUAGGAAGAAUAAAUAUUGUGAAAAUGGACAUUCUCCCAAAAUUGUUAUAUAGAUUCAAUGCAAUCCAAAUGAAAAUACCAUCAUCAUAUCUCAUAGAUCUACAGAAAUUACUCCUACAAUUCAUCUGGAACCAGAAGAGACAUAGAAUAGCAAAGACAAUUCUAAUCAGCAAAGGCCAGGCAGGAGGCAUCACAAUCCCUGACUGGAAGUUAUACUACAAAGCAAAUGUAAGAGCAUCAACAUGGUAUUGGAAUAAAAACAGAUCUGAAGAUCAAUGGAAUAGAUUAGAAGAUAUAGCCACAACUACAAACACACUCAACCACUUUAUCUUUGAUAAAGGGGCCAAACACGUUCAUGGAAGAAUGACAGUCUCUUUAAUAAAUGGAAAUAAAUAGAAAAACUGGCUCUCCAUAUGCCAAAAACUAAAACUAGACCCAUGCCUAUCACCAUGUACUAAAACAAAAUCUAAAUGGAUCCAAGAUACAAAUAUUAAAACAGAAAUACUAAAUCUGUUGGAAGACAAAUUGGGUAAAAAUCUUGAAGACAUAGGGGUAGGUAGAGAAUACAUGAACAGGAAUCAAAUUGCAUGGGAAAUACUUCCCAGAAUCAAUAACUGGGAUCAUGUCUUAUUAAAAACGUUCUGCACGUCAAAAGAAAUCUCCAGCAUAGUAAAAAGAAAACCCACAAACUGGGAAAAAAAAUCUUAGUGAACUGCCCCUCAGACAAAGGACUUCUGUCUAAAACAUAAAGAAUUUUUAAAAAUCAGACCCCCAAAAUUCAAAGACCUAAUCCAAAAAUGGGCAUCUGAGAUGAAUACACAGUUCUCAAAUGAAGAAAUACAAAUGGCAACGAAAUACAUGAAAAAAUGUUCAUCAUCAUUAGUCAUUAGAGAAAUGCAAAUUAAAACCCUACUGAGGUUCCAUCUCACUCCAGAAAGAAUGGCCAGGAUCAAGAAAACUACCAACAACAAAUGCUGGAGAGGCUGUGGGGGAAAAAGGAUCUCUCCUGCACUUUUGGUGGGAGUGUAGACUGGUGCAGCCAUCGUUGGAGGUCAGUCUGGAGAUUUCUCAAAACGCUGGGAUUGGAGAUUCCAUUUGACCCAGCUAUUUCACUUCUAGGCAUAUUCCCAGAAGAAUUGAAAGCAUCAUACCACAGUGAUACAUGUGCACCUGUGUUUAUAGCAGCACAAUUUGUAAUAGCCAGGUCUUGGAAACAACCUAAGUUUCCAUCAACUGAGGAAUGGAUAAAAAAAACUUUUAGUAUUUUUAUACAAUGGAGUACUACUCAGCUAUAAAGAAUGAUCACAUUGAGAUAUUUAUAAAUAAAUGGGCACAACCUGAGACCAUACUCAUAAGCAAAAUAAAUCAAACUCACAUGUACAAAUAUUGUAGUGUCCCUAGUGUAAGAAAUGGUAAGAGUACAUAAGAUUUUAUGGUAAUCAUGAUUCCCCAUUACAUUGCUUUGAAGCCUUAUAAUGUUUCCAUUCAUUAGUUGGAAUGGUUUUAUCCCGGGUUGUUUGAUUUUAAUAUCUGUGAUGGUAUGAGCAGAUAUUCUGAAGAAAACAAGACAUUAUAAUAGCCAGUGCUGAUUUAAUAUCAUCUUGUUUUGAAGUCCUACCAUGCUUUUGUUCUUGUGUUUCCUUUGGUUCUAUCAUGUUGUAUAUUAUUGGCUUUUAUUAUGUGUGAUAGUACAAACAAAUCUUUUAUGGACAGUGAAAUAAUAUAGUAACCAUUUUUCAUUUUCUGUUAUUUGGUUCUGAAUAACUUGUAAUACUUUCACUCUUAAUUGUUUUAUAGUAUUUUGUUAUAUUUGAUUCUAUUGUGUAUGAAGAUAUACUCAACCAUUUUAAAGAAAGAGACAUUAUGGUAGCUACUGAUAUAUCGGGUUGUCUUGUGGUGAAAUACUGUGUUGCUUAAAUUAUUCUGUUCUUAUAUGCUUUAUUAUGUCCUCUUUUAAUCUCUUUAAAAUAAAAAAAAUUUAAAACAAA